AUACGGAGGGUGCAAGCGUUAAUCGGAAUUACUGGCGUAAAGCGCGCGUAGGCGGCUUGGUCAGUCGGAUGUGAAAGCCCCGGGCUUAACCUGGGAACUGCAUUCGAUACUGCCAGGCUAGAGUAUGGUAGAGGGAAGCGGAAUUUCCGGUGUAGCGGUGAAAUGCGUGGAUAUCGGAAGGAACACCAGUGGCGAAGGCGGCUUCCUGGACCAAUACUGACGCUGAGGUGCGAAAGCGUGGGGAGCAAACAGGAUUAGAAACCCUAGUAGUCC
RNAcentral lists this ribosomal RNA (273 nucleotides) under uncultured bacterium. RNAcentral describes it as "partial 16S ribosomal RNA". It matches the Rfam family "Bacterial small subunit ribosomal RNA", at positions 523 to 796 of the family's 1533-position model. The record is from RNAcentral.